This 208-nucleotide ribosomal RNA is filed under the name uncultured bacterium. RNAcentral's name for it is "partial 16S ribosomal RNA". It matches the Rfam family "Bacterial small subunit ribosomal RNA", at positions 568 to 775 of the family's 1533-position model. The record is from RNAcentral.
CGUGUAGGCGGCCGAUUAAGCCAGGUGUAAAAUGUUACAGCUCAACUGUAAACCCGCAUCUGGAACUGGUCGGCUAGAGGACGAGAGAGGAAAGUGGAAUUCCUAGUGUAGCGGUGGAAUGCGUAGAUAUUAGGAGGAACACCAGUGGCGAAGGCGGCUUUCUGGCUCGUACCUGACGCUGAGGCGCGAAAGCGUGGGGAGCAAACAG